GGAGAGGUGGCCGAGUGGUUUAAGGCGCACGCCUGGAAAGCGUGUAUAGGAAGCCCCUAUCCAGGGUUCGAAUCCCUGCCUCUCCG
This 86-nucleotide transfer RNA is filed under the name Candidatus Zixiibacteriota bacterium. Its description in RNAcentral is "candidate division Zixibacteria bacterium tRNA-Ser". It matches the Rfam family "tRNA". Rfam says of the family: Transfer RNA (tRNA) molecules are approximately 80 nucleotides in length. Their secondary structure includes four short double-helical elements and three loops (D, anti-codon, and T loops). Lineage: Bacteria; Pseudomonadati; Candidatus Zixiibacteriota. The record is from RNAcentral.